AUUGAACGCUGGCGGCAGGCCUAACACACGCAAGUCGAGCGGAUGAAGGGAGCUUGCUCCUGGAUUCAGCGGCGGACGGGUGAGUAAUGCCUAGGAAUCUGCCUGGUAGUGGGGGAUAACGUCCGGAAACGGGCGCUAAUACCGCAUACGUCCUGAGGGAGAAAGUGGGGGAUCUUUGGACCUCACGCUAUCAGAUGAGCCUAGGUCGGAUUAGUUAGUUGGUGGGGUAAAUGCCUACCAAGGCGACGAUCCGUAACUGGUCUGAGAGGAUGAUAAGUCACCCUGGAACUGAGACACGGUCCAGACUCCUACGGGAGGCCGCAGUGGGGAAUAUUGGACAGUGGGCGAGAGCCUGAUCCAGCCAUGCCGCGUGUGUGAAGAAGGUCUUCGGAUUGUAAAGCACUUUAAGUUGGGAGGAAGGGCAGUAAGUUAAUACCUUGCUGUUUUGACGUUACCAACAGAAUAAGCACCGGCUAACUUCGUG
This 484-nucleotide ribosomal RNA is filed under the name uncultured bacterium. Its description in RNAcentral is "partial 16S ribosomal RNA". It matches the Rfam family "Bacterial small subunit ribosomal RNA", at positions 30 to 507 of the family's 1533-position model. The record is from RNAcentral.